RNAcentral lists this ribosomal RNA (572 nucleotides) under uncultured bacterium. RNAcentral's name for it is "partial 16S ribosomal RNA". It matches the Rfam family "Bacterial small subunit ribosomal RNA", at positions 355 to 920 of the family's 1533-position model. The record is from RNAcentral.
UGGGGAAUUUUGGACAAUGGGCGCAAGCCUGAUCCAGCCAUGCCGCGUGCGGGAAGAAGGCCUUCGGGUUGUAAACCGCUUUUGUCAGGGAAGAAAUCUUCUGAGUUAAUACCUCGGGAGGAUGACGGUACCUGAAGAAUAAGCACCGGCUAACUACGUGCCAGCAGCCGCGGUAAUACGUAGGGUGCAAGCGUUAAUCGGAAUUACUGGGCGUAAAGCGUGCGCAGGCGGUUUUGUAAGACAGAGGUGAAAUCCCCGGGCUCAACCUGGGAACUGCCUUUGUGACUGCAAGGCUUGAGUGCGGCAGAGGGGGAUGGAAUUCCGCGUGUAGCAGUGAAAUGCGUAGAUAUGCGGAGGAACACCGAUGGCGAAGGCAAUCCCCUGGGCCUGCACUGACGCUCAUGCACGAAAGCGUGGGGAGCAAACAGGAUUAGAUACCCUGGUAGUCCACGCCCUAAACGAUGUCAACUGGUUGUUGGGAAGGUUCCCUCUCAGUAACGUAGCUAACGCGUGAAGUUGACCGCCUGGGGAGUACGGCCGCAAGGUUGAAACUCAAAUGAAUUGACGGGGGU